GAUGAACGCUGGCGGCGUGCCUAAUACAUGCCAGUCGAGCGAACAGACGAGGAGCUUGCUCCUCUGACGUUAGCGGCGGACGGGUGAGUAACACGUGGAUAACCUACCUAUAAGACUGGGAUAACUUCGGGAAACCGGAGCUAAUACCGGAUAAUAUAUUGAACCGCAUGGUUCAAUAGUGAAAGACGGUUUUGCUGUCACUUAUAAAUGGAUCCGCGCCGCAUUAGCUAGUUGGUAAGGUAACGGCUUACCAAGGCAACGAUGCGUAGCCGACCUGAGAGGGUGAUCGGCCACACUGGAACUGAGACACGGUCCAGACUCCUACGGGAGGCAGCAGUAGGGAAUCUUCCGCAAUGGGCGAAAGCCUGACGGAGCAACGCCGCGUGAGUGAUGAAGGUCUUCGGAUCGUAAAACUCUGUUAUUAGGGAAGAACAAAUGUGUAAGUAACUAUGCACGUCUUGACGGUACCUAAUCAGAAAGCCACGGCUAACUACGUG
Molecule: ribosomal RNA, 497 nt
Filed under: uncultured bacterium
Lineage: Bacteria
Description: partial 16S ribosomal RNA
Rfam family: Bacterial small subunit ribosomal RNA
Source: RNAcentral